CUCACGACGCCACCGUCUCGCUUCAAAGUCCAGUGAGAAUGGCGGUUAGACAAAGCCGCAAGCAAAUUACACAACCAGAGAUAAAUGAAGAAGUUGAAUCUUCAUCUGAAAAAGGCAAAAGUUUCAUUGCACCCAGAAUCCUUCAACAGCGAGAAUUUCAGGGUGCUUUGACUGCGCAAAGAAGUAAUGGGCUGGGAAAUUCUGGCCAUUUACACGUGCAUAAUGGUGGCAACAGUAGUGCCACAGACAUUCAUGAAUCAGAAAGUCUUUCUGAAAUUGAUGAUGCUGAGGUCAUUGGAUAUCUUAACACCAAGCAUGAGAUGCGUUAUAAGAGGAUCUUGUGGGAAGCAAUGGAUAGAGGAUUUUCAAAGGCUAAGAAACCAAAACUGAAGGCAGAACUCAAAAGAAGUACUUCUGUUGAUAAAGCUGCAAAAGCCACUCCUAAAAUAGAGAAAAAGAGGCCGAGUUCCAGAAUUAACUAUGAUGCUCUUAGUAAGCUAGCUGAUGAACUGAAGUAGAAUUGGACCAAUCCUAGCAUCAUUUGUGGCAGAUGUAUAUCUGUGGAUGCAUGUGCAAACUUAUCAGUUUGACAUUACAACAGAAUCAAGGUCUUGAUAGCAAUGCUGGUCAGUAAGGUGCAGUCGAUACUUACCUCUUCUCUACCGAAAUGAACGUGCCUAAGAACUCUAGGUAAAUAGUGUUGCAGUUGCUGGAUACGGCAUAAUUAUUAGAUGCCAAAAUACUGGUGACAACUUGGUGAGAUGAUAAGAAAGUUGAAGAUCAUCGUGCUGAAGAUCGUAAACUUUCUGAGCAGUCUCCCUGACAAAUCAUCCGUGAAAGGUCCAGCAUAGAGGAUGAGCCUCUCAAAACUAUAAUGAGCUAAAUUUGAUGAGCCUCCAACAAUAAGAUAAGAAGCUUUUGUCUUGUCUGACUUUAGAGUGAAAAACUGGCUUUGUAAUUUAAUAUUCUCGUUUUAAGAAAAAAAUUUCUAUC
Molecule: RNA transcript, 993 nt
Organism: Coffea eugenioides
Lineage: Eukaryota; Viridiplantae; Streptophyta; Magnoliopsida; Gentianales; Rubiaceae
Exons: 8
Source: RefSeq, a predicted model, not a curated record